This is a long non-coding RNA of Cavia porcellus (domestic guinea pig), 554 nucleotides long. RefSeq lists it as uncharacterized. The record is from RefSeq and is a predicted model, not a curated record. The transcript is spliced from 2 exons. NCBI's taxonomy places the organism in Eukaryota, Metazoa, Chordata, Mammalia, Rodentia, Caviidae.
UUUAAUCUUAGUGAAAUCAAUGCUCAUUUUCUCAGUCAGGAUGUUUAAUCUGGUAAACAGAAUGAAUGUCUUUUUGAGUUCUAUUUCUUUGACAGUAUUUUCAGAACAUGGUGCCCUGGACAUGUGAAUUUCAUUUCAGACUUCCCAGUCCAGUCCACUUAGUAUCUGAAUUUGCGCUACCUGCUUUAAAAAGAAUUAGAGUGUUCAAUUUUAUUUGUAAUGUAUCUCUUAAUUUGAUUUUCUUUUAAAGACUGCCAUUUUCAAGAAAAUUAAUGAUGAAAAGAUAACACCUGCAUCCUCAAAGCCAGCAUCAGGAUGAGUGCUAAUUAAUGCAAAACAUAAGAAACUGUCUGGAUGUGGUGGCACAUGCCUAUGAUCCCAGCACCUGGGAAGCCGAGGCAGGAAGAAUCUGAGAACAAGGUGAAUCUAGGCUACAGGUGAGAUCAAGUCUGCCCUGAACUAGUGGAGACCUGGUGAGAGCAUGUGAAAUCCUGUUUUAAACAACAAAAAAAUGAAAAAAGAAAGCAAACAAUAAAAUUACUGUAACUCCUUUU